GAUGAACGCUGGCGGCGUGCCUAAUACAUGCAAGUCGAGCGAACAGACGAGGAGCUUGCUCCUCUGACGUUAGCGGCGGACGGGUGAGUAACACGUGGAUAACCUACCUAUAAGACUGGGAUAACUUCGGGAAACCGGAGCUAAUACCGGAUAAUAUAUUGAACCGCAUGGUUCAAUAGUGAAAGACGGUUUUGCUGUCACUUAUAGAUGGAUCCGCGCCGCAUUAGCUAGUUGGUAAGGUAACGGCUUACCAAGGCAACGAUGCGUAGCCGAACUGAGAGGGUGAUCGGCCACACUGGAACUGAGACACGGUCCAGACUCUUACGGGAGGCAGCAGUAGGGAAUCUUCCGCAAUGGGCGAAAGCUUGACGGAGCAACGCCGCGUGAGUGAUGAAGGUCUUCGGAUCGUAAAACUCUGUUAUUAGGGAAGAACAAAUGUGUAAGUAACUAUGCACGUCUUGACGGUACCUAAUCAGAAAGCCACGGCUAACUACGUG
RNAcentral lists this ribosomal RNA (497 nucleotides) under uncultured bacterium. Its description in RNAcentral is "partial 16S ribosomal RNA". It matches the Rfam family "Bacterial small subunit ribosomal RNA", at positions 28 to 507 of the family's 1533-position model. The record is from RNAcentral.